GAUGAACGCUGGCGGCGUGCCUAAUACAUGCAAGUCGAGCGAACAGACGAGGAGCUUGCUCCUCUGACGUUAGCGGCGGACGGGUGAGUAACACGUGGAUAACCUACCUAUAAGACUGGGAUAACUUCGGGAAACCGGAGCUAAUACCGGAUAAUAUAUUGAACCGCAUGGUUCAAUAGUGAAAGACGGUUUUGCUGUCACUUAUAGAUGGAUCCGCGCCGCAUUAGCUAGUUGGUAAGGUAACGGCUUACCAAGGCAACGAUGCGUAGCCGACCUGAGAGGGUGAUCGGCCACACUGGAACUGAGACAAGGUCCAGACUCCUACGGGAGGCAGCAGUAGGGAAUCUUCCGCAAUGGGCGAAAGCCUGAAGGAGCAAAGCCGCGUGAGUGAUGAAGGUCUUCGGAUCGUAAAACUCUGUUAUUAGGGAAGAACAAAUGUGAAAGUAACUAUGCACGUCUUGACGGUACCUAAUCAGAAAGCCACGGCUAACUACGUG
RNAcentral lists this ribosomal RNA (497 nucleotides) under uncultured bacterium. RNAcentral describes it as "partial 16S ribosomal RNA". It matches the Rfam family "Bacterial small subunit ribosomal RNA", at positions 28 to 507 of the family's 1533-position model. The record is from RNAcentral.